UCAGUCGGCUGGACGGCCGCUCUCGCAAGGCUCGAAAGGGCGCGAGGGAGGAAAGUCCGGGCUCCACGGACAAACGGUGCCGGAUAACGUCCGGCGGGGACCUGUUCUCGCGAAAGCGAGGAUCGAGCCCCAGGGACAGUGCCACAGAGAAGCAGACCGCCGCGGCGCGUUGCGUAUUUCGCGGCAAGGGUGAAACGGUGCGGUAAGAGCGCACCGCGUUUGCGGCAACGCAAACGGCACGGCAAACCCCACCGGGAGCAAAACCGAAUAGGAAUGGCGCGCAGCCUUCGUGCUGCAGGUCGGUCCGGGCCAGCCAUUCGGGUAGGUCGCUUCAGGCGCCGGGCAACCGGCGUCGCAGAGGAAUGGCCGUCACGCGCAUUUCGUUCGCGGAAUGCGCCAUACAGAACCCGGCUUAUAGGCCGAACUGGCAUA
Molecule: RNase P RNA, 432 nt
Filed under: Pseudorhodoplanes sp.
Lineage: Bacteria; Pseudomonadati; Pseudomonadota; Alphaproteobacteria; Hyphomicrobiales
Description: RNase P RNA component class A
Rfam family: Bacterial RNase P class A
About the family: Ribonuclease P (RNase P) is a ubiquitous endoribonuclease, found in archaea, bacteria and eukarya as well as chloroplasts and mitochondria. Its best characterised activity is the generation of mature 5'-ends of tRNAs by cleaving the 5'-leader elements of precursor-tRNAs.
Source: RNAcentral